Temnothorax curvispinosus is the source of this 880-nucleotide RNA transcript. RefSeq lists it as uncharacterized. The record is from RefSeq and is a predicted model, not a curated record. The transcript is spliced from 6 exons. NCBI's taxonomy places the organism in Eukaryota, Metazoa, Arthropoda, Insecta, Hymenoptera, Formicidae.
UCAAAUUACAGAUUUAUGAAAUAUAGAAAUAAACUUAUAUUAUGCUUGAUGUCAUUGAUGUCAUUAAGAGGUAGAAAAGCAGUGGAAUACUUCAUGCACUUCCAAGGUUGGAAUCUGUCUUGGGACAAACGCAAAAAGAGAAGCCAUAAGAUGUCAAAGCGCUUAAUCGAAACGAAACAGAGCAUCAAGAACCUCGUCGUAGAGCGAGAAGCGGUGGCAGUCGAGCUGCAUCAUCUACGACCAGAAUUUCCGAAGAUGGCAGUUCAGGCCAACACGCUGAUUAUUAUACGGAAAUUUAUUGGAACAUGCAAAAUUUAAUAAAUUUAGAAGCAAUUCGUCUUCUCGAAGAAGUUGAAGGAGGAGCAGUGGUUAGGCGAUUAUUUCAUGCAAGAAAUGAUCUUUUCGAGUUAUCCAAUAAGGAUUUUAUCCGAUUAUACAAAGUAAAUAAAAGAAUAGCUGAAGAUAUCAGUAAUAUUGUGUCGGAAUAUAUUAAUGAACAACCAAGACGAUUAUCAGCAUUAGAUAUAAACACACAGGUGAUUCUGGAUAUGCCUUAAGACCCUGGUUAUUGACACCUAUCAUGAAUGCUGAACCAAACUCUUCUGAAGAUCACUAUAACAUAGCACAUAGACGAAUCCGAUCUCUUAUAGAAAGGACAAAUGGUUUAUUGAAAAUGCGUUUCCGCUGUUUAUUGAAACAUAGGGUAUUGCAUUAUAAACCAGAUGUAGCAUCGCGUAUAAUUAAUUCUUGUGUAGUAUUACAUAACAUGUGCAUUCAAGAAAAUGUACCACUACUGUGCCCAGAAGAUUAUGAUUUUGAUUUUGGAUUAGAUAUUAAUGAUAAUGUAAAUGAAAAUGUAGAACGGAACCGUAUUAAUCCA